Nasonia vitripennis (jewel wasp) is the source of this 1152-nucleotide long non-coding RNA. RefSeq lists it as uncharacterized. The record is from RefSeq and is a predicted model, not a curated record. NCBI's taxonomy places the organism in Eukaryota, Metazoa, Arthropoda, Insecta, Hymenoptera, Pteromalidae. The transcript has 2 exons.
GUUUACAGAUUGCUUAAAUGUAUUGGACAGAAUAUCGAGACACGUGGGAUAGCGCACGGUUAUAAAUACACAAUUUAUCGCGAAUAGCCAUGUUAACAUUUUUUCCUCUUUACCUAAAAGAAGCCAUUCGUAGGCUAACUGAAUUUUCAAACGCCAUCCUAAUGGACCAAUGGAUAGUUUAGUAAAACAAGUUCUCCGCAAGUUGUGUUACAAAUCCAAUAAUUUUAUACCAAAAUAGCUCAUCUCUAAUAAAUAUUCACCGUAGAAAGCAGCGGGUCCUCAUCGCAGCGCAAAAUAUUCCUCCCGCGGCAUCGUAUCAGUCGAGGCCACACACGCGCUCGGUAUCCUCGGGCUAAGGCUAACUCGCGAGUUCGCUGCACGCCUGGUCAAUAAGGAAUUUGCGAGCCGCGUUGCUGCAGCAGUCGCAGCUCGCGUAGACAAAAUAUCAGCAGAGCCUUGAACGCUAUACGGAUGAUCUCGGAAUGUACGCGGAAUCCGUUUACAGAGCCGAUUAUAGGUCGGUUUUGCAUUCGUCGUUUUAUAUUUCGCCCGUUCCACCCUCGACGAGUGUAUAUUCGACGUUUCGGUUGACGGCCUGCUCGAGUUUCAGAGCGAAACGUUUUGAGUUGUCGGGCCGAGCAUAACGUCGCCUGCACUUUCGAUAGCCUGCUUCGAAUGACGGAUUUCGAAUGGAAUUCGAUUGGCGAGUUUCCGAACCCCACGAAUGCGUUCAACUACGGCAUAAAUAUUAUCGUUCGAACUUAAUGAAAAAAUCUUUAUCCUUUAUACUCAAGUGGCUGUUGAAUGUGAGGCAUAUUCGCUGACGGAAAGAUUAUCAAUGAAGUUUGAUCGUUCGAUAAACAUAUAGCAGCAAGACAAGACACCGAAGAGUCACGUUCUUCAAACCGUCGACGGACGAGUUUUGAUUAGCUAGAUCAAUUCUCAUCCGAAGCCUUUUUCAUCGAUCACAGCUCCGCAGAGUAAAUAAAUAUACGUCUCCAUCCCAAGUGCUUACGUUUAUGCCAACGUAGUCACUGCGCGAUCGAGUGACAAGCGUCGUUCUCUAUCGAAUUACACACACACAUGCCAGAGUUCAACGAACACGCCGAAGAAUAAUUAAUUUAAAAACAAUAAAAGACUCAACCGACAAAA